This 1329-nucleotide non-coding RNA is filed under the name Cryptosporidium parvum. Lineage: Eukaryota; Apicomplexa; Conoidasida; Eucoccidiorida; Cryptosporidiidae. The record is from RNAcentral.
UGAAAAUGGUGUAUUUAACGCAUUUAAAUACAACAACACAUACAUUUUUAGAAAAAAAAAAUGGAAAUCUUAGAUUCUUCUCAUCCUUUUUGAUGAUGAUAUUAGUAACAGAAUUAUUAUAUCUUCAGGCGUGGAGUAAAUCUAAUAUUCAUUAAGCAAUAAUAGCUGGAGAAGAAUAUGCCGUUGGACGUUUUAAUGCACUAGCGAAGUAAGCAAAAUCAUCUGGUGAAAUAUUUCGGAUUUCCUCAGAUGUACAUAAUUUGAAUACGUUUGCUUUAAUGCAUGAACAUUUAUCUUGGUCUAAUAUUGAAGUUGCAAGCCAGGAUUGGAAAGAUAAUCUUUUACAAUCUUCAUCGCAAAGCUCAUUAUUUGCAACAGGAAUAUUCUGUGGUAAAAACCAUCCCUUUCUUAAUGCAGAAUUGUACAAAUUCUCCAUUCUCAUAGAACUUUCUUCAUUUAAUGAAAAUGUGACAGGAUAUGCUGCUUGAGAAAUAAAAUCUACAACAAAUCCUAAUCCUCUAUCAUUAACUCUAUCCAAAUCUUGUGGGCAAUUCUUUUGAUGUGGUCCACCACGUAUAAUAUUUUUGGCUUGUUCUACAAGUAAAAACAUCAUACAAGAGUACUCUGGUGGUAAUCCUUCAUGUGGAUCCAAUAAUUUAUCAACAGAUUCUUCAUUUCCAGAUAAAAUAACCAUCAUUGCGUUGGAUGAACGUAUUGUAUCUAAAAUAGUAUUUUGGGUUGCAUCUACCAAUCCAUCUUGAUCAUUAUCUAAGACACUUGCUAAUAAUUCUGUUAAAUAUGAUAAUUUAUCGUCAGGUACUCUAUAAUCACCAAGUAUAUGAAUUCCAAAAGCAGAAGUAAACUUUGUUAAUCCUGCUCUUGUGAAUCCUGAUUCUGGGAUUGUAGAUGGUUUUAUGUAAACUUUGUCAUCUCUUGGUUGAGAUGCAAAAACUUCUGAAGGGAAUACUGCGUUUUCACAAUUAGGUUCAUUUUGUAGUGAUUUCAUUGAUAAUAAUUCUUCUGAAGUUGAUUGAUUGUUUGAUUUCAAUGUAUGUGUAGCCUUAGUAGUUGAUGUUGUAAUCAUUGAAUCUGGAUGACCAUGCUCUCCUGGAUUUCUUACAUUCAAUGUGGGUGCUCCUCUAACCACUAAAAUGAUUAUUGAAAUCAUAUAUAAUACGUUUUGACAGAACUUCAUUUUGACCACAAAAUUCCGGCAAUUGUUAAUUUUAAUCUUCCCUGUAUUAAACUAGUAACAAAACAAACUUCUCUUGCUUUGAUUGCUAUUUCCUGUUGAAAUAGAUUUGAAACUUUUGAAAUUUAUUAUAUUAC